UACGUAGGGUGCAAGCGUUGUCCGGAAUUAUUGGGCGUAAAGAGCUCGUAGGCGGUCUGUCGCGUCUGUUGUGAAAACUCGGGGCUUAACCCCGGGCCUGCAGUGGGUACGGGCAGACUAGAGUGCGGUAGGGGAGACUGGAAUUCCUGGUGUAGAGGUGAAAUUCGUAGAUAUCGGGAGGAACACCAGUGGCGAAGGCGGAGACCUGGGCCAAUACUGACGCUGAGGUGCGAAAGCGUGGGGAGCAAACAGG
This 253-nucleotide ribosomal RNA is filed under the name uncultured bacterium. RNAcentral describes it as "partial 16S ribosomal RNA". It matches the Rfam family "Bacterial small subunit ribosomal RNA", at positions 524 to 776 of the family's 1533-position model. The record is from RNAcentral.